UAGGUAAUUUGCUUAAGGCCUUAUAACUGCUUAUUGGUGGUCCUUAAACUUAUAUCCAGGUCUUUUUCAUUUCAGAAGCCCAAGCUUCUACAUUGCCUUUUGUGAUGAAUAUCAGGUCUUACUUAUGAGAAUAUAUUUUCAAUAAAAUGUUAAAAAUCUGUGUACCAUUGGACAAGUAAUUUUGGCUGCAGUUUCCCUAUGUGUACAAAGAAUGAACUUCUUAUUUCAGUCUUUGUAGUAGAGAUGGGAUCUCACCAUGUUGGCCCAGGUGGUCUCAAACUCCUGACCUCAA
Molecule: long non-coding RNA, 292 nt
Filed under: Pan troglodytes (chimpanzee)
Lineage: Eukaryota; Metazoa; Chordata; Mammalia; Primates; Hominidae
Description: long non-coding RNA NONPTRT013821
Source: RNAcentral